RNAcentral lists this long non-coding RNA (819 nucleotides) under Mytilus galloprovincialis (Mediterranean mussel). Lineage: Eukaryota; Metazoa; Mollusca; Bivalvia; Mytilida; Mytilidae. The record is from RNAcentral.
UUUAAACUCACAUUUUAAAAUAUUUCUAUGAAUUAAAUAGGGUUUUUCUCAAUAUUGCAAAAAGUCAAUAUCACAAUUUAAUCAAUAAUGACAAAAUCACAAUAAUAAAUACUCCCAAUAAUUUCAGAAAUUACGGUAGUUAUAUUAGUAAACAGGUUUAAGGUUGAAGUCACUUUCUGCUCAAUCAUAUUAGUACAAUCAGAUAACAAUCACAUCUCAUGACUACACAAAGGCAUUUGAGUAACAUUUAUACGUAUUGUUAAUAAUGUAUAUUUAUAUAGUUGUAUGUAAGAAAGUUUGUGUUUGUACACACUUUUGAUUCAAUCAUUUACUCCAUUUUUUGUGGUACAGUGUAAACUGUGUUGUACUUAUUUUAAAACUGACCUAAUAUUUAUGGGUCAAUUGAGCAAUUAAUCUUAUCAAACCAAUCACUUUUGAAUUUAUCAAUGUUGUCAGAUACUGCCACAUUUUUCUUGUUGUGAUGCAACAAUAUUAUGUGAAAACGGUUUGAGUUAUUUCAAUUGCAGUCAAACUGAAAUUUGUUGUAUAUAUAUAUAUAUAUAUGUUAUGUUGUCUGACUUAUGAUUGCUUUCAUCUUAUUUUUUGUGACGUGAUAUAAUUAGUUUUUGAAAAAUGUAAUACUUUUUGUUUAGCCAAAAAAAUAGAUCUAUUUGAGUUAUAAUUAUUUUGAAUAAAAAUUCUGACAAUCAGUUCCAGACUCUAUGUAAAUAGUCAUCCUAAUGUACUAUUGUAAAUCAUGUAAAUGUAGCCAUUCUAAUAAAUGGCUUUUUUAAAAGUUUGUAAUGUGUUUCUGAAUCU